Molecule: ribosomal RNA, 310 nt
Filed under: uncultured bacterium
Lineage: Bacteria
Description: partial 16S ribosomal RNA
Rfam family: Bacterial small subunit ribosomal RNA
Source: RNAcentral
AGGGAAUCUUCCACAAUGGACGCAAGUCUGAUGGAGCAACGCCGCGUGAGUGAAGAAGGUUUUCGGACCGUAAAGCUCUGUUGUUGGUGAAGAAGGAUAGAGGUAGUAACUGGCCUUUAUUUGACGGUAAUCAACCAGAAAGUCACGGCUAACUACGUGCCAGCAGCCGCGGUAAUACGUAGGUGGCAAGCGUUGUCCGGAUUUAUUGGGCGUAAAGCGAGCGCAGGCGGAAGAAUAAGUCUGAUGUGAAAGCCCUCGGCUUAACCGAGGAAUUGCAUCGGAAACUGUUUUCUUGAGUGCAGAAAAAGGA